UCCUUGUCGUGUGGCCUCAGUCCUUCGCCGUCCCUCGCCGUCCUUCGCCAUCGCACGCCACCGCACCCCAUCUCUCGAAAUCUGCAGACAUCUUGAUUUUUCCCACGCUGUCUGUCAGGUCUCCGCCGCCACUCGACGCCAGGGCGCCGGGCCUUGUGGGCUGUGCUGCACCUCGGACGGCUUCGCACCAGCCAGCGCCCUCUCUCUCCUGCAGCACUCUGAUCUGCACCCCCUGAGGGGCUUCCACUGUCCGCGGGGUGAGAAUGCCCCUGGGAGUGUCACAUGACUGCCGCCCCAUGUGUGUGAGAGGCGUCCUCUGGGAGAGCAUGGAUCCUGAGGUCCCAGGAUUGUCAGCUGACCUCUGUCCUGUGUGCCCAGUGGCCCCAGGUGACGUGUCUUCAAGAAGAGGCUGAGCUGCGGUGCUUGUAAGAGUCAUGUGCUGUUCCUGGGGCUUGGAUGAUGUAGGGGAAGCAAGGUGAAAGUGGUAUCCCGUGGUUCCACGUUCUGUCCUGCUGUGGGGCUGUCCCUCACAUGCUUUCAGUGGCUGUUGCAGAGGAAGAGCCUCCGGAAAUCUGCGUGGGUAAAGUGAGCUCCCCGGGGGAACCGUCCUCCUCCCUUGAGCGCUGGUGUGUCCAUAGUGUGCUGUGAUCUGGAUUAGCAGUGAGUUUUUCUUUCAGGGUGUGUGUGUAUGAUGUUAGGACCAUAUGCUCCUGACCUUUUCCAACCCAAAAGCGUUUCCAUUUUUUUAAUGCUGGAAGUGUCUUAACUCCUUUUGGGGUCUUAGAAGGACACACGGUGGCCGUGGCUGGGCCUCUGCUCAGCUGGGCUGCUCUCCCUGCCUCAGGCCCUUGACACCAGCCUCCCUCCCUUGCUGGCUCUCUUUCUGUCCUUCCCUGCUCUUGUAUCCAAAAGUGAUCAUGGGUUGCCUGUGUCCCGAUCAUUAACAGUGCAGGGGUAGGAGUGCUGAAAGACAUCUUCCCUGCGUUGGUCCAGCCUUCCCUUUCAAACCCUGGAGCUUUCCCACGCUGCAGCCUUUUUCCAACUAGGCUUUCAGAGCUUGGGCCUUUGUGGGCCCAUGUGAUGUGGUGACUAGACCCACCCCCUGACUUCUGAGGGUUCAUUUUGUCUUUUCAUGUUAGGGAUCCUCCUGCCAGAAACCAGUCUGCAUUUCUCUCUGGGCCCCACGCUGGAAUGAAUUCAGAUAGCAGUGAAGGGCACACGUGAGAACUGCGAAUCACGGGCUUUGCUUCAUGAAAUGUGAAAUCCACAUUGUUUCCACAGGCACCAUCAGUAAUGUCGAACAAAUGGAGAAAGUUGCAGGUGGGGCUAGGAAAGCUGUAUUCCUGUGGAUUACUCUAGCUGGUCAUUUGCCCCGAUUGUGAACUGCUUGAAAGAAAAACGAAACUUCUAAGAUGUUUGUCCUUUCAUGUCCUUUCUGUUGGGAUUUUUUAUUUGGUGUGCGUGAAUGAGGAGCUUCGCCCUGCUUGAAUGGGACCCCUCUCAGUGGUGUCAGCUUGGGGAGGAGGAGAUGGCCCUGGAGACUAAAUACUUGUAUGCUUUCUUACCCUCUUAGGUCUCAGCCUUAGAUCCAAGGACAGUCCAAGGAAGUCCUAAGACCAUGGAGUUGGUGAUCUGGGAUCUGGGUUUGCUGAUAUUUCUCACCGUGAAUCUCUUGGUGGUGUUUGUGGGCACGAGAGGGGCAGAGAAUGGAGAGUGAGGCUACCACAUGAAGCGUCACCAGAGCUGCUCCCUGCUGCCUGCUCAGAGCACCCCGGAUCCACUGUUCAAUCUGCACAAGAUUCGGGGUCCAGACAUGGGAGACUUCAGCUGCCUCAGAGGACCGUGGACAGGGAAGGCCAGCCUCGCAUCCCUCUGUCCAUGCCUGGAAUGACUUUAAUAACCAAGAGUUUUAUUUUUGAAUUUGUAGCUGUCGUUCACUUUUUACCCACCCAUUCAAUAAACCUUACAGAAUUGCUCCA
RNAcentral lists this long non-coding RNA (1979 nucleotides) under Homo sapiens (human). Its description in RNAcentral is "HSALNT0400905". The stretch from base 898 to 1025 matches the Rfam family "Small nucleolar RNA SNORA71". The record is from RNAcentral. Lineage: Eukaryota; Metazoa; Chordata; Mammalia; Primates; Hominidae.